Molecule: ribosomal RNA, 900 nt
Filed under: uncultured bacterium
Lineage: Bacteria
Description: bacterial SSU rRNA
Rfam family: Bacterial small subunit ribosomal RNA
Source: RNAcentral
UAGAGUUUGAUCCUGGCUCAGGACGAACGCUGGCGGCGUGCCUAAUACAUGCAAGUCGAGCGGACAGAUGGGAGCUUGCUCCCUGAUGUUAGCGGCGGACGGGUGAGUAACACGUGGGUAACCUGCCUGUAAGACUGGGAUAACUCCGGGAAACCGGGGCUAAUACCGGAUGGUUGUUUGAACCGCAUGGUUCAAACAUAAAAGGUGGCUUCGGCUACCACUUACAGAUGGACCCGCGGCGCAUUAGCUAGUUGGUGAGGUAAUGGCUCACCAAGGCAACGAUGCGUAGCCGACCUGAGAGGGUGAUCGGCCACACUGGGACUGAGACACGGCCCAGACUCCUACGGGAGGCAGCAGUAGGGAAUCUUCCGCAAUGGACGAAAGUCUGACGGAGCAACGCCGCGUGAGUGAUGAAGGUUUUCGGAUCGUAAAGCUCUGUUGUUAGGGAAGAACAAGUGCCGUUCGAAUAGGGCGGCACCUUGACGGUACCUAACCAGAAAGCCACGGCUAACUACGUGCCAGCAGCCGCGGUAAUACGUAGGUGGCAAGCGUUGUCCGGAAUUAUUGGGCGUAAAGGGCUCGCAGGCGGUUUCUUAAGUCUGAUGUGAAAGCCCCCGGCUCAACCGGGGAGGGUCAUUGGAAACUGGGGAACUUGAGUGCAGAAGAGGAGAGUGGAAUUCCACGUGUAGCGGUGAAAUGCGUAGAGAUGUGGAGGAACACCAGUGGCGAAGGCGACUCUCUGGUCUGUAACUGACGCUGAGGAGCGAAAGCGUGGGGAGCGAACAGGAUUAGAUACCCUGGUAGUCCACGCCGUAAACGAUGAGUGCUAAGUGUUAGGGGGUUUCCGCCCCUUAGUGCUGCAGCUAACGCAUUAAGCACUCCGCCUGGGGAGUACGGUCG